UACGGAGGAUGCAAGCGUUAUCCGGAAUGAUUGGGCGUAAAGCGUCCGCAGGUGGCGAUGUAAGUCUGCUGUUAAAGAGUCUAGCUCAACUAGAUAAAAGCAGUGGAAACUACAUAGCUAGAGUACGUUCGGGGCAGAGGGAAUUCCUGGUGUAGCGGUGAAAUGCGUAGAGAUCAGGAAGAACACCAGUGGCGAAGGCGCUCUGCUAGGCCGUAACUGACACUGAGGGACGAAAGCUAGGGGAGCGAAUGGG
This 253-nucleotide ribosomal RNA is filed under the name uncultured bacterium. RNAcentral's name for it is "partial 16S ribosomal RNA". It matches the Rfam family "Bacterial small subunit ribosomal RNA", at positions 524 to 776 of the family's 1533-position model. The record is from RNAcentral.